AUCCUGGAUAUGCACAACUGCCGGGGGGUUCCAACAGCACAGAGCAUGGAGCAAAUCUUGAAGGAGCUUGCUCACCAAAAACUGGUUCAAGAGCCUGCUUUUGUGAUUGAACAGUGGAGCAACAUGCUUGUACCUGUUAGAUCAGAGCUGAAAGGGAUUGCAGCAGUCUAUGAGACUAGAGAGAGCUACACCCAACAUCACGAAAGAUCACCAGAUCAAUCACUUACCCCAUCACCCAGAAUGCCCAGGAAAAACAAGUAGUCAAGAAAGAAAAUCACGGUCAGCUUCACACAACUCCAGGGAUUUCAG
Molecule: long non-coding RNA, 309 nt
Organism: Gasterosteus aculeatus aculeatus (three-spined stickleback)
Lineage: Eukaryota; Metazoa; Chordata; Actinopteri; Perciformes; Gasterosteidae
Source: Ensembl